CACACAUUCACGUUUCUGAGCAUACAAAUUACUUAGUGAAGUGUUAGUAAUACGUCACGGAAGAGAACAUUCAAUGAGAUGGUAGAAUUUUGUUUUAGGUUUUACUUGCCGGUUACAAAACGAGCAUAAGCACUUUUGUAUAAAAUUUGAUUGUAAAUGAAAACUAAGAAUAAAUUAUUUGUGUAGGGAUAAAAAGUGCUAUAAUAAGCCAUUCAAGCAAAUUUAGUGCUGCACUUAAAAAAACUAUACCCAAUCUCAAAUAAGUUCAAGUAGCAAAUAAUAGAAAUUUAAAAAUCGCAGUUACAUACAUACAUAUACGUAUAAAUAUGUCCGCUACAUUUGUACGCUCAUGGGAGUAGAACAAUCUAAUUUUUCCCAAGUGACAGAUUUGUUUUUAACUUUCACGUUACUUACCUUUCGCGCUUCCUAAGUCUCUUUCCACUCUGUUUCGUUAGUAUUAAACAAGUUUUUAUAGUAAAUAAAAGUUAAUUAUUAUAGCUGAACAAGGUAUAUUAAGUUUGUCAUGUAAUCACGUAAUUUGUAAGACCCAGAGGGAAAAGUCGGGUACCCAAUUAUAUAUACGAAUAUGUACAUACAUAUGUGUGUAUAUAAAUUAUCAGCGUUACGUGCUGAGUCGAUUUAUGUUCGUCUGAGCCUCAGUUUUGCUCAUUUGUCGGAACUGUCGCUAUCAAACUAGCGUAUAACUAUAUGCUAUAAAAACUGAACGAUCAAACUAUUGCCCUGGUAUGGAAAAUUUUAUUUGACAAAAUAUCAUCACGGAAUUUCGCAAAGUAUAUUAUUUAAGGCAGGACUACAGCAUAAAGCUGUCAUACAAAUUGUCCGUAUUUGCUGUUUUCCUUAAACAAUCAAUAACAGUACAACUUUUCUAUACUUAAAUGAAUUUAUUAUAUUUUCAUCAGAUUGUUUUAAUUACUUUUAGUUUAUAGAAUAACAAUUUUAAAACGAACUCCAGUGCGCUGAUAUGAGUGUGCAAGUGCCUUAAUAUCUUCCUGCAUAUUGAUUCGAGUUCACUCGCACCGACUCUGGUGCAAUUUAAUUCAAAUGAUUUGAAUAAUCUAAUUAAAGAAUGUUAUUUAUAAUGCCUAUAAAUAUAAGUAUAUUUAAUUUUAAUUGCUGCAUCAGCUGAGUUCAACAGUGAAUAAUAUAUUUAGUAAAUAUGCACUUCAAGUUUUUAAUAAAUUUAAAGGAAUUGACUACAUACAAUAUAAUUUAUU
Long non-coding RNA from Bactrocera tryoni, 1235 nucleotides. RefSeq lists it as uncharacterized. The record is from RefSeq and is a predicted model, not a curated record. Lineage: Eukaryota; Metazoa; Arthropoda; Insecta; Diptera; Tephritidae. The transcript has 2 exons.